UACGGGGGGGGCAAGCGUUGUUCGGAAUUACUGGGCGUAAAGGGCUCGUAGGCGGCCAACUAAGUCAGACGUGAAAUCCCUCGGCUUAACCGGGGAACUGCAUCUGAUACUGGAUGGCUUGAGUUCGGGAGAGGGAUGCGGAAUUCCUGGUGUAGCGGUGAAAUGCGUAGAUAUCUGGAGGAACACCGGUGGCGAAGGCGGCAUCCUGGACCGACACUGACGCUGAGGAGCGAAAGCCAGGGGAGCAAACGGG
Molecule: ribosomal RNA, 253 nt
Filed under: uncultured bacterium
Lineage: Bacteria
Description: partial 16S ribosomal RNA
Rfam family: Bacterial small subunit ribosomal RNA
Source: RNAcentral